UGUGAACUCGAAGAGUAGGGCGGGACACGUGGUAUCCUGUCUGAAUAUGGGGGGACCAUCCUCCAAGGCUAAAUACUCCUGACUGACCGAUAGUGAACCAGUACCGUGAGGGAAAGGCGAAAAGAACCCCGGCGAGGGGAGUGAAAAAGAACCUGAAACCGUGUACGUACAAGCAGUAGGAGCCUCUUUAUGGGGUGACUGCGUACCUUUUGUAUAAUGGGUCAGCGACUUAUAUUCUGUAGCAAGGUUAACCGUAUAGGGGAGCCGCAGGGAAACCGAGUCUUAACUGGGCGUUAAGUUGCAGGGUAUAGACCCGAAACCCGGUGAUCUAGCCAUGGGCAGGUUGAAGGUUGGGUAACACUAACUGGAGGACCGAACCGACUAAUGUUGAAAAAUUAGCGGAUGACUUGUGGCUGGGGGUGAAAGGCCAAUCAAACCGGGAGAUAGCUGGUUCUCCCCGAAAGCUAUUUAGGUAGCGCCUCGUGAAUUCAUCUUCGGGGGUAGAGCACUGUUUCGGCUAGGGGGUCAUCCCGACUUACCAACCCGAUGCAAACUACGAAUACCGAAGAAUGUUAUCACGGGAGACACACGGCGGGUGCUAACGUCCGUCGUGAAGAGGGAAACAACCCAGACCGCCAGCUAAGGUCCCAAAGUCAUGGUUAAGUGGGAAACGAUGUGGGAAGGCCCAGACAGCCAGGAUGUUGGCUUAGAAGCAGCCAUCAUUUAAAGAAAGCGUAAUAGCUCACUGGUCGAGUCGGCCUGCGCGGAAGAUGUAACGGGGCUAAACCAUGCACCGAAGCUGCGGCAGCGACACUAUGUGUUGUUGGGUAGGGGAGCGUUCUGUAAGCCGU
This 851-nucleotide ribosomal RNA is filed under the name Klebsiella grimontii. Its description in RNAcentral is "partial 23S ribosomal RNA". It matches the Rfam family "Bacterial large subunit ribosomal RNA", at positions 398 to 1251 of the family's 2925-position model. Lineage: Bacteria; Pseudomonadati; Pseudomonadota; Gammaproteobacteria; Enterobacterales; Enterobacteriaceae. The record is from RNAcentral.